Molecule: antisense RNA, 69 nt
Filed under: Streptomyces malaysiensis
Lineage: Bacteria; Bacillati; Actinomycetota; Actinomycetes; Kitasatosporales; Streptomycetaceae
Description: ASpks TB sRNA
Rfam family: ASpks TB sRNA
Source: Rfam by way of RNAcentral
CUUCAGCGACCCGAGCCACACGGGCUGGUCACGGUCCUGCCCGUAGGUGGCGAUCAGGGCCUGGGCCUC